RNAcentral lists this long non-coding RNA (1255 nucleotides) under Androctonus crassicauda. The record is from RNAcentral. Lineage: Eukaryota; Metazoa; Arthropoda; Arachnida; Scorpiones; Buthidae.
AUUGAAUAAUUGCAGAUAGUACAAAUUGAAAUGCUUUAGUCUUCAUAUAAAUAAUAAAUCUGAUUUUUAAAUAUUAAGAAAAAGUUGCUAUAAUAUUUAUAAAAACUUUAAUUUGGAACCUUGGCAAAAUUUAGACAUUUGUCACCACACAAGGUAAAAGUUUCACUUCCAGUAAUUUCUCCUUUAUGAGCUACAGGUUAAUCAUUUUGUACAUCAAAAUGAAUGAUGGUGAGAGAAAUAUAAAUAAUCAACGUACAAAUAAUCAAAUUUUGGAUAUUCCAAAAAAUUUAAGAAACAACAAAAAUUUAGACAUUAUUGGAGUGAGUGAAUUCUGUUAUAUAUCCACAGGAUGUAAUCAUAUUUAUUGCAAUACAGGGACUCUCGAUUUUAUGAACUUCAACGGACCCCAAACCAGAAAGAAAAGAUUAGACUUAUCAUUAAUUUUUGAUAAUUUAUAAUAUAUUUAACUGAAGAUAUUUAUAAUUUAAAGUGGGAAAUUUUCUUUGUUAUUAAAAAAUGCUGUUAAAAUUUUCUUAAUUAAUUUGAAAAUCAUAAAAAUUUAAAUUAUUUUACUCUGAAUAUGCUUAAUUUUAUUUUAAAGAAAUGUUAGAUAUACAAAAACAAUGACAUUGUGUACUGAUGCAAGUUAUGAAACAUUAAUCACUGGAAAAUUUGGCAUAUCAGGAAUUUAACUCUACAACAUCUAAUUGUUUACUGCAAUAUAAAUUGUCUUCAGUAAUAACUUGUGCAAAAUAUGGCUGCUAAAUACUCGACAUGACAAAACCGUCAAGUUAAACUGACAUUAAACUUCAAAUUAUGGUACUUUAUACAGAAUUUUAAUUUUAAGGAGUGCCAAAAAUUAUUUCAUCUUCAAGGUGCUAUUGGCUGCAUUUUUUUAAACAAGUUUUCAAACAAUUCUUGAAUGAAUGAAUCAAAUUCUGGAUCACGAAGACUAUUUUAUAGAAUUGCAAAAUUUUAUCCAUUUGGUAUCUUGUAUAAAGCAAUAUUGAAGUGAAAUGGCUAAAGAACAUUGUGCAGUUUGAUCUAGGUUGAAAUAUUCUGUAUGUCUCUAAUUAUACUAUGCUAUGGAAAAUGAUCAAAAGAAACAUCAACAAGCAUAUUUAUUUUAAGUAAAAAUGCAAAACAAAAACUCUUGACAAAAUGUGAAAGUGAAAAGAAAUUUUUGUAAUUUUCGUACUUAAAGUGAAAUUUUAAAUUAAAACUUGUAGUUCAUUCGUACUUAUUGUAUGCUUUC